RNAcentral lists this ribosomal RNA (738 nucleotides) under uncultured Caulobacteraceae bacterium. RNAcentral describes it as "bacterial SSU rRNA". It matches the Rfam family "Bacterial small subunit ribosomal RNA", at positions 8 to 796 of the family's 1533-position model. Lineage: Bacteria; Pseudomonadati; Pseudomonadota; Alphaproteobacteria; Caulobacterales; Caulobacteraceae. The record is from RNAcentral.
AGAGUUUGAUCAUGGCUCAGAGCGAACGCUGGCGGCAGGCUUAACACAUGCAAGUCGAGCGCCCCGCAAGGGGAGCGGCGGACGGGUGAGUAACACGUGGGAACGUGCCCUUCGGUUCGGGAUAACUCAGGGAAACUUGAGCUAAAACCGGAUACGCCCUUCGGGGGAAAGGUUACGCCGAUUGAGCGGCCCGCGUCUGAUUAGCUAGUUGGUGGGGUAAUGGCCCACCAAGGCUACGAUCAGUAGCUGGUCUGAGAGGAUGAUCAGCCACACUGGGACUGAGACACGGCCCAGACUCCUACGGGAGGCAGCAGUGGGGAAUCUUGCGCAAUGGGGGAAACCCUGACGCAGCCAUGCCGCGUGAAUGAUGAAGGUCUUAGGAUUGUAAAAUUCUUUCAGCGGGGACGAUAAUGACGGUACCCGCAGAAGAAGCCCCGGCUAACUUCGUGCCAGCAGCCGCGGUAAUACGAAGGGGGCUAGCGUUGCUCGGAUUUACUGGGCGUAAAGGGCGCGUAGGCGGAUGACCAAGUUGGGGGUGAAAUCCCGGGGCUUAACCUCGGAACUGCCUCCAAAACUGGUCGUCUUGAGUUUGGGAGAGGUGUGUGGAACUCCGAGUGUAGAGGUGAAAUUCGUAGAUAUUCGGAAGAACACCAGUGGCGAAGGCGACACACUGGCCCAAUACUGACGCUGAGGCGCGAAAGCGUGGGGAGCAAACAGGAUUAGAUACCCCGGUAGUCC